Molecule: ribosomal RNA, 305 nt
Filed under: uncultured bacterium
Lineage: Bacteria
Description: bacterial SSU rRNA
Rfam family: Bacterial small subunit ribosomal RNA
Source: RNAcentral
UUCCUACGGGGGGCAGCAGUGAGGAAUAUUGGUCAAUGGGCGGGAGCCUGAACCAGCCAAGUCGCGUGAGGGAUGACGGUCCUACGGAUUGUAAACCUCUUUUGCCGGGGAGCAAGCGUGCGUUCGUGAACGCGCGUCGAGAGUACCCGGAGAAAAAGCAUCGGCUAACUCCGUGCCAGCAGCCGCGGUAAUACGGAGGAUGCGAGCGUUAUCCGGAUUUAUUGGGUUUAAAGGGUGCGCAGGCGGGAGAUCAAGUCAGCGGUAAAAUGUCGGGGCUCAACCCCGGCCGGCCGUUGAAACUGGGU